UGAUAUUGAAAAUUAGAUCGAACUAUGGUCUUCCCCUGGGUUACUUUUCCGAUGAUCAAGAGAGUCAAAAUUUGGCUGAUAAGGAUGGGAAGAAGCUGGCUCAAGUUAAGAAAGGCUUGGUGUCUUGUCACCGUUGCUUAAUAUACCUUGGUGAUCUUGCUCGGUACAAAGGAUUGUAUGGAGAGGGAGGAGAUUCCAAGAACCGAGAGUAUGCUGCUGCUUCGGGUUACUAUUUGCAAGCAGCUUCUCUGUUGCCAGCCAGUGGAAACCCACAUCAUCAGGUUCUCUCUCUUUCUGAUGAGAUCUUUUUAUUAGCUAUGUACAGUGUUUCUGAUUAGAUUAACUCUAUGUCUCAGCUUGCUAUAAUUGCUUCUUAUUCGGCGGAUGAGUUUGCAGCAACUUAUCGUUACUUCCGGAGCUUGGCUGUGGAGAGUCCUUUUCCCACUGCCCGUGACAACUUGAUUGUUGCUUUUGAAAAGGUUAACUAACGAAUUUAUGUUUUAAAUAUCUCAGUCGCUUAGGAUAAUAGCCAUGGUCCUCUCACUUUCUUAGUACUCAAAUAUAAUGUAACUUUACCUCUUUGUACGGUUAAGCAGAAUCGUCAGAGUUAUGCCCAGUUGCUUGCGGCUUCCAAAGACUCAUCUACAAAGCCGAAUGGUAAAGGAAGAGGUAAAGGCGAAGACAAAUCAUCGGAAGAUGCGAACGUGGCUUCUGUUCCUGAGAAGGAUAAAGUAACUAGUGCAAAUGAGAUGCUUAAAGCAUUCUGCAUUAGAUUUGUACGUCUCAACGGGAUUCUUUUCACCCGAACAAGGUAUUCUCUUUAUUUCUGAUUUUAGUUUGUUCUAGAUUCUGUUACUGGCUCUCUUAUAUAAAAUAUUUACCACUUGUCUUUGUCAGCCUGGAGACAUUCUUUGAUGUUCUUGCUUCCACUAGCAUCAGUCUACGAGAGCUGAUUACUUCAAGCUUAAUGGAAGUGCUGGUUUUUGGCAAAGACACCAGUGACAGCGCACUCUUCAUUGUUAGACUCGUGACGAUUCUUAUAUUCAGCGCCCAUAACCUUAAGAAAGGGACAGACCCUAAGAAAGAGACAGAGGGUCAGUCAUAUGCGCAAAUUGUACAGCGUGUGGAGCCUGCUAGAAACUCCUUAACAGCAAGUUUCGAGUUACUUGGACACGUAAUAGAGCAGUGUGCGCAACUGCGUGAUCCUUCGUCAAGCUAUUUCUUGCCUGGUGUCUUAGUUUUUGUUGAAUGGUUGGCCUGUUGUCCUGAUAUUGCAUCGGGAAGUGAUCCGGAUGAAAGACUGGCUGCUGCGAGAAACAGCUUUUGGAACCAGUGUGUUGCCUUCUUCAAUCGACUCUUGUCGCUUGGGCCUAUGUAUAUUGAUGAUGUCGAAGAUGAGACUUGCUUCUCAAACAUGAGCAUGUAUGAUGAAAGAGAAACUGAAAACCGACUUGCUCUGUGGGAGGACUAUGAAUUAAGAGGAUUCUUGCCAUUGCUUCCAGCUCAGACUAUUCUCGAUUUCUCAAGAAAACAUUCCUUUGGAACUGAAGGGCCCAAGGAAAAGAAAGCUCGUAUUAAGAGGAUCCUAGCAGCAGGGAAAGCAUUGACCAGUGUGAUCAAGGUUGAUCAGAAUUGUGUUUAUUUUGACUCAAAGAAGAAGAAGUUUCUCGUUGGUGUUAAACCGUCCGGUGACUUACUGGAUUCUCAUUCAAACCCACCUGAAGCUGAUAAUGCUUUACAAGAAAACCAAGCAAUGAUGAACCAUAAUACGCCAGUGACGCAACGAGAUCAGCAGAUUUACUUGGAUGAGGAAGAUGAUGAAGAAGAAGAAAUUGUUUUCAAACCUCUAGUUACUGAGAAGAGGAAUGGGGCUUCUGACCAAACCUAUGUUCCUAAUGGAGGCUUGAGGAAUCCUGAUCAAGUUCCUAACGGAGGCUUCAGGAAACCUGAUCAAGUUGCUACGAUGAGAGAAGACUUAAAAUCUCUGAGUGUUUCAGAUGCAGCUUUUCAAGGAAACAUGCUUCAGCACUCAAGAGGCAAUGCAGCUGUUCAAGUGCCUGCGUCUGUUGGUUCUAACCUUCUGGGACAUCUUCUGCCGUCAACCCAGUCUCAGGGUAUGCAGUUGCAACAACCUCAGACACAAGCAGUGCAUCCUCAGCAAGCUCAAUCGCUGGCUUCUUCACGACUUCAACCACAUCAAUCACAGGUCUCACAACUUCAACCACUGCAAUCACGGACUGUGCACUUUCAACAAACUCAGGGACAGGUUUCACAUGCUGCACCGGCCCAGCCACAAUCAACUUCCCUUAGUGGUAGCAACUGGUUCCCAAAUGAAGCUGCUAGGAGCCUAUCUGGUUUCGCUCAGAUGGGUAAUGGUCUUGUGAUGAGGAACGAGAUGCAAGGAAACCAGGGAUUUUCCUAUUACCCUGCACACUCAUUGCCGAUCCACCAGUCUUUCAAUGUCAACGGUAUGGGUGGUAUGCCAUAUUCUCAGUCACGAACACCCGAAGCUGUGUUGCCACCCAAUAUCAAUGCUGUUUCAUCUGCUGGAGUUAUUGCUGAUGGCAUGGGUAUGCAGUCUUCAUUAGCGAGAAAAAAUCCAAUCGGUAGAGCCUCCAGGCAUCUCGGCCCUCCACCUGGGUUUAACCCUGUCCCCUCUAAGGUGGUAAAGGAGCCUGCACCUGGUCCGGAUAUGUCUGGCAACAAUCCACAGGUUGAUGAUUACAGCUGGUUGGAUGGAUACCAAGGCCAGCCGGUUCGGGUCUUCAGCGUCCAUCCACGAAACUCAAAUUCGAGAACCGGAAUGCAUUCAGCGAGUAACCCAGCACGUCCAUCCAAUGCGCCCAAAACAGUUUAUCCCCUUCCCCACUCGGAAUCAUCUCCUCUAUCGCCUUACCUAACCCCACAUCCUUCGCCACGUGUUCGUCGCAACAUCCAUCCGCAACCGUCGUCUCUCUCAUAAACUCUCUCUGAAGCGUAACCGCCGAAAUCCGAUCGCACGCCCCGGUGUUCAGCCGAAACGUCAGCAAUCUCUUCUCGCCGUCGCGCAGAUCGUAGAGACUAACGAAGAAGACGCCGCACUCGCCGUUACUCCAAAUGCAUUUCUGAAACACCCAUUUCGAUUCCGAUUGACUGGUUCAAAAGCAAUGUGUGGAUUCCCUAAAGAACUGUAGGAGGAGACACGCUUCAGAAAAUCUUCAUAGCGGCUUCAGAACAAUGGAGCCAUGUGGAUGUGUGAUAUAUGUUAGGUUACAUAAACUGGCACUAUCAAAUUGAGGGGUUUGAGAAGAUUAGGUCAUACCUAUUCUUCGAUCAGAAGCAGGUGAAGGCCGAUUAGCAUCCCGACUUUAGCGGGAUAUGGGCUUCUCAAAAGUGAAUCAACUUGACAGGCGGCGACUUUGUCGAAGUAAACAGUCAGAGAUCGACGAUUUGGAGCGUUUUAGGGCCACCAUAGCGAUGGUUCAAGGAUUUGGAGUCUAUAUAUAUAUAUGUAUCAAAGAGAAGUUGGAAAAUGGAUUGACAUGUAGAAGUUUGAGCAUACUCUAAACGGCAGAAGAUGAAGAAGAGGUAACAGAUGGCUAGGUAAACUUUAUGUCAAUUAAAUCAGAAUCUUUACAGUAGAGAAAUCUGAAAAGGUUGUAAACGGUGGCUGUGAUUAAUUAAUUUUGCCCGUAUUUUGAAUAAUAAUGAUAUGUAUUUUGGGCUAUAAUGAUGAGCCACGACAACACAGAAAAUCAGAAGCCCAUAACUAAGUUGGCCUGCGAAAAUUUUGUGUUGACUAACAGCAGACUGACGUGGCAAAAUGAAACUUCAUUAUUGGUUGAUUUUUAAAGUGACGUGGACACCUUUCCUGUGGAUUAUAUAUCCCUUUUAUUAUAGGAUAGAUUUUUUGUUUAGGCAAUUUUUUUCAAGAAAUUCAUAACUGAAGAAAGUAAAAAGGAAAAAUAGACGGUGAAAAAAAAAAGAAGAGGAAGUGAAAACUAUGGGAGAAAAAGAAAAGACAAAGAAACGACGUCGUCAAAGCUUAUUUUCCCUCGUUCACUAUUUUUUUUCUGUCUCGUAUAUAUACACUAAGGAAAAGUCUGACCUUGACAAAUAUACAACAUCACCGCGUCUCCUUCUCUCUCUUUUUUUUUCCUCGUUGGAAAAAAAAACCCCUAGCUUCUCCAUCUCUCACCGAUGGUCAUGGUCGCAUAGCCAUUCGCAGAUCUGGUAAAAUUGAGUUUAUAACCCUCUCUUUUCUCUUAUCCUAUUUCACAAUUUCGCUCUUGGUUGCUUUGUUUUGUGUUUUCCCCUUUUUACAAAAUUGAUGCUGAUUCUGCUUUGAUUACCCUCCUCGUUCGCAGAAUUUUUAGUCAUGAUUAUGGGUAACAUAGGGUUGGUCCUGAUUUUGGUUUUUCCUGAUUAUUUUUUUGGUAGAUUUCAACUCUAUUAAAUCGAAUUUUUUUUUGUUAUUCGUCAUUAUCUCUGGUUGAUCACUUGUACAAUCGAAUGUUCUCUGUAAAGGGUCUUGUUUUCUCUGUUCAAGGUUUUGACUUGAACUUGUUUUCUUCUUGUGUUAACACUGAUCGAAACUGCUUACGGAACUCUGAUUAAUAUCAUCUAUUGGCUCUUUAGAUGAUUGCUUUUGUUUAAGCUUCUUAUAUAUGUUUUUUUUUGUUAUAGAUAAUGACACCAGCAUAGCUUUAGCCUGAGAUUUUUAUUUAUUUAUUUCAGGUCGUUGACAAUUUUGAGACUUUGCAGAUGGAUAAAAAGACUGCUUCCUCGCCAUGGGAGCGAGCCCAAUCCAUAUUCGAUAAGGUUUCCUUCUCUUUCUUACUUUGACAACUCUGUGAAUUUACCUUUAUUAUUGUUUUUGGAGUAGUUUUUUUUACAAUGGAAGCUGUAUCAGUUCGUCUUUAGCUCAUCGUAGGGUUAUAAAGGCCGUUUUGUCUCUGUACUUGAGGCUAUGGUUUUGUAGACCUCUUUAUAGUGACAAUAUAUGCAUUCUUUGCAGACUAUUGAGUUGGAAGCCAAGCGUAGGAAGGCUGCACAGUCUCGGACCCCGACGUCUGACCCCAAUUUGUGGCAGCAAAUUCGCGAGAAUUACGAAGCUAUCGUUCUCGAAGAUCAUGCUUUCUCUGAGCAGCACACCAUUGAGUUUACACUGUGGCAGUUGCAUUACAAACGGAUUGAAGAGUACAGAUCAAACAUCAAUGCUGUCUUGGCUUCUGGUAGCUCCGGUGCGGCUCAGAAUGCAAAGGGUCCUUCUAUAUCCGAACGAGUCGCGAGGGUCAAGCUGAGGUUCAGAACUUUUCUUUCGGAAGCAACUGGGUUUUACCAUGAGAUGAUAUUGAAAAUUAGAUCGAACUAUGGUCUUCCCCUGGGUUACUUUUCCGAUGAUCAAGAGAGUCAAAAUUUGGCUGAUAAGGAUGGGAAGAAGCUGGCUCAAGUUAAGAAAGGCUUGGUGUCUUGUCACCGUUGCUUAAUAUACCUUGGUGAUCUUGCUCGGUACAAAGGAUUGUAUGGAGAGGGAGGAGAUUCCAAGAACCGAGAGUAUGCUGCUGCUUCGGGUUACUAUUUGCAAGCAGCUUCUCUGUUGCCAGCCAGUGGAAACCCAC
RNAcentral lists this long non-coding RNA (5600 nucleotides) under Brassica napus (rape). Its description in RNAcentral is "long non-coding RNA (BNAP_LNC001116)". The record is from RNAcentral. Lineage: Eukaryota; Viridiplantae; Streptophyta; Magnoliopsida; Brassicales; Brassicaceae.